AACUAAUCAAGUUGAUCCUAUAAAUUCAGCAUUUAAUUAAUAAGGGCAUGAAACCAUGAGCUCAAAAGGAGCCAGGGACCCAGGCACUACUGGUCGGUGUCAGGAACCGUUAUGAUGUAUUUGUAGGACUGAGUCACAAUAGGCUGGGGUGAUAGGAGGACAGCAGAGUAAGUUAAAUUCAGAUGGAAGAAGGCCAAGUCAAGAAGGGACCAUGCUGAAGCCCAAAACAUCCAAACUGGUAACAAACCUUACAAGAGCACAGACUACAGAGACAUGGUCCUUAACAUUAUUGGAUGUGCAAACUGACAAGCUCUGCAUGGGAUUCAAGGGGAUCACCUCUAGUAGAACCAGCAGCUACUGCAUCAGAAGGCAUCAAAUAAGGCUUAAAGAAGUCUUUGUCAAAGACAGAUAAUGAUGAUGAUUAUGUUACAUAGUGCCAGGGCGGUGUAUGGUUCCUGGUCCCCGCUUCGAUCUCCACACCUGCUCAUCAUCACUCACCUGCUGCUCAUCAUUCAUGAUUGCUCGUGCCAUUAUUUAAUGCCACACUGGAGUGCUGUUUUUCACUGGAUUGUUGUACUUAUCUCGGGAUCUGUUUCCUGUUUUCUGUGGACCCAUUUUGGUUGAGAGUGAGUGUGAGUGAGUCACAGACUGUGUGAAAAGGAGUGUCCUGGACCUGCCCCUGGAUUUGCGUCUGAGUGCUGCCUGACCAUCCAUGACAACAUAGUCUUUGAAAUUAUGUAACUUUUGUUAUUUAAAGGACACCUUCAAAAUGUCCAUUGUUUAUAUUUAUUAGUUGUUGAGUCAGUGGACUGAAUGUUACAAAGAAAGUUACCACCAUAGCUCUUCUUUGUAACACUUGAAAUAAACACACUUAAAAGUACUGUGUUCAAGUUCAAGUUCAAGUUCAAAUUUAUUUCUAUAGCACUAUUAAAACAACAGGUGUUGAUCAAAGUACUGUACAAUAAAAUGGACAAGGCAAUAAACAUAAAAAACAGAAUAGUGUUUUAGAAGAGAAUAAAAUCAUAUAAAAAAGAGAAUAAAAUCAUAAAAAGAUAAUAAAAUCAUUAAAAAGAAUAAUAGUAACAAACUCAUGAUGAAUCAAAAGCCAGAGAAUAAAAAUGGGUCAGACGACUUUUAAAAGUAUCCAAUGUUGGGGAGGAUCUGAUAUGCAAAGGCAAUGUAUUCCAGAGUUUAGCGGCAGUCACAGCAAAUGCCCGGUCUCCUCUGUGUUUUAAUCUGGACCUAGGGAUAACCAAAAGCAUUUGGUCCACAGACCUCAAGGAUCUUGGGGGAGAAUACCAGGUUAGGAGAUCAGCAAGAUAUGUAGGGGCUAGUCCAUGCAACGACUUAAAAACAAGUGUUAAGAUCUUAAAGUCAAUUCAAAAGCUGACUGGCAGCCGGUGUAGUGAUGCAAGUAUAGGAGAUAUAUGAUCUCGCUUGCGUGUGCCAGUUAGGAGCCGUGCUGCGGCGUUUUGAACUGGCUGCAGUUGGCCAAUUGAUGAAGAGGUGACACCAGAGUAGAGACUAUUACAGAAGUCGAGGCAACAUGAGAUGAAGGCAUGGAUCGCUUUCUCAAAAUUUCUGAAACAGAGAAAGGGCUUAACUUUUGUAAUUAGGCGAAGAUGAAAGAAACUGGUUUUGACUACAUUGUUUAUCUGUUUAUCAAAUGUUAAAUUGCUGUCAAAAAUCACCCCUAAAUUUCUUGCAAAUGGUUUUUUAUAAUUUUCUAAGGGGCCAAGGUCAUAAUGGUCAGAAGGACCAAAGACAAUGACCUCGGUUUUCUGUUCAUUUAGAUUUAGAAAAUUUAGAGCCAUCCAUGCCUUGACAUCUUCUAGACAAUCAAACAGUCCCUUCAGAAGAUUCACAGAUUUUCAUUUUAGUGGAAGGUAAAUCUGAGAAUCAUCUGCGUAACAGUGAAACGAAAUUGCAUAUUUUUUUAAAAAUAGAUCCCAACUGGAGCAUAUAAAUUGAAAAAGGGACUGGACCAAGGAUAGAGCCCUGGGGGACCCCGCUAAAAAGGGUCGUCUUUGGAGACAAUUUAUCUCUGAGUCUAACAGAGAAAGUACGAUUAGAUAAGUAGGAUUUAAACCAUUCCAAAGCAAGCCCUUUAAUUCUGGCACAUUGUUCCAGUCGAGAGAUAAGAAUCCUGUAAUCUACUGUGUCAAAAGCAGCACUGAGGUCCAAUAAUAUUAAAAUAGCAGAAUCUCCCGAGUCGGUAAAAGUUGAGAGGUCAUUAGAAACUUUUAAAAGAGCGGUUUCAGUGCUGUGGUGCAUUUUAAAACCAGAUUGGAAUAGUUCACCAAUGUCGUGUUGGUCUAAAAAGGUCUGGAGUUGCAGAAGGACAAUUUUCUCCAGAACUUUUGACAAAAAGGACAAUUUAGAGAUUGGGGGGUAAUUUGAUAGAACUGUUGAGUCCAGAUUCUGCUUUUUAAGGAUGGGUUCCACAGCAUGUUUAAAAGCAGUGGGAGGAUUAAGAACUGAGUUUAUAAUACCAAAUAAAAUCCAAGGUUUAUGACAGUUGUUGGACACGAUCUUGGAAAAGUAUUUUGUUUUAGCUGCUCUUACAGCUUUCUGGUAACUUGACAGGGAUUCUCCAAGUGCCCCAAACGACACUUGGAGACGGUCCUUUUUCCACUUUCUUUCCACUUUUCUACAUGCCCAUCUGCGUUCCCUGGUGUCAUUACCAUGGUUGGGUUUUAGCUUUCAGAUACCUAGUGGUGCAAGGAGCAAUGGAAUCCAGUAUUUCCAGACAAGCUGAGUUGAACAGGGAAAGCAGACUAUCAGUGUUCAAAUGAGUGGUACUGUUAGUAGGUAAUGCCUGAUUUAGAUUUUUGUAGGAACGGGCGAAGCGAUCUGCUGUAUUUGAAUUGAUCGUGCGAGAUCGGAGUUUGGGCACAACAGAUCUACCAGGCUGACCUAAAAAGGGAAACUCAAAUAGGACAGGCAUGUGGUCUGAAAAAUUUAUGUUACAGAUUUCAGUGUCAAUGAGUGAUAGGCCAUAAGAGAGUAGAGAUCCAGGGUAUGACAGAGUUCGUGAGUUGGGCCUUUGACUAACUAAACAAGAUUAAAUGAGUCUAUAAGGUUUAAAAAAUCAUUGGUCAAUGGGGUAUUUAAACAGCAAACAUGAAUAUUAAAAUCCCCUACGAUUAAAACACUGUCGUACUUUGGUAGAAUACCUGCCAAGAAUUCAGAAAAGUCUUGUAUAAAGUUCUUAUUAUAUUUAGGAGGUCGAUACACCAGCUCACAUAGCACCAUUGUGGACAAGUGGAUUUCAAAUAACUGGAGUUCAAAACUGCCAUAAGCGUCCACUGUUAACUGCCGACAAUUAAAGCGUUUUUUAUAAACAGUGGCUAAUCCUCUGCCUCGACCAGACGUUAGGGGCGAGUUGAGGUAGUUGCAGUCAGGGGGGACAAGUUCAGAGAACGGGCUCAACUCACCCAAGUUCAGCCAAGUUUCGGUCACCAGGAGAAAGUCCAAAUUCCGAGUGGUGAAAAAAAUCAUUCAAAAUGAAGGUUUUGUUGGCUAGCGAUCUAGCGUUAACCAGGCCCAGUUUAGCUAGGGUGGAAUUCCCCGCUGGCCGGGAUGAUCGGCAUAGGGGGAGAAGGUUUUGAUAAUCCACUCCCGCUCUGCGAAGAUGACGGAUGCCGAGGGCGCUGGAUAUUAAGAUGUGGAGUCACCGGUAUAAUCCAACGGGGAGCCGAAUCCAGGGAGCGCCAGGAGAUAAACCAUUUGUUGUCCGGGGCGAGGUUCUUAAGAAGAAUACGAGGAUUAGUCACAGGGAAUAUCGCCGUGAAUGCCGCCACACAACUUUUUGAGUUUGACCAGUAUUCCGGCUCAUUUCCCUCGCCUUCUGUGGUGUUUCUUCCCGAGGGGAAGGCUAGGUGGAUAACUGCGGAGAAACAAAGGUAUGGUUUCUACCACAGGUGGAACACGGAAAUCCUCACAUCCUGGGGGCUUUCGGUACUGCUCCUCGACAGUGGCACGGAUAUUUAAAAGCGAUUUGAAGUCGUAGACCCGAAGAAUAGUGGCAGUAUUAAAGAAAACAGAUAUUAACAGAGCUAGUAGAAACAGUACAGGUAGCAGCUGACAGCUGGCCGAACACACACAGGGGCCAUCUUGCCACCUAUAGUCCCAUCAGCGAUUAC
Oreochromis niloticus (Nile tilapia) is the source of this 4145-nucleotide long non-coding RNA. RefSeq lists it as uncharacterized. Lineage: Eukaryota; Metazoa; Chordata; Actinopteri; Cichliformes; Cichlidae. The record is from RefSeq and is a predicted model, not a curated record. The transcript is spliced from 3 exons.